GGGCGGUCUUUGCUCUCACCCCUUGAUUUGGGACGCGUGUCUUGAAAGACAGACGGGAGAGAAAGGACCACCCAGUCGCAGAAGGCAAGGCUAGGAGACGCGCUCGCCCGCCCUUUAGGCAAAGGAGGGAAGCCCGCGUAUUGUGUACUGGGCUCCGAAACAGCCCCGGGGACUGGAAAAGGAACUCCCUCUCUGGGGCAUGAGGCGGAGGGCUGCCAAAGCCAACUAGACUCUCCUGGUGGGGCCGGACGAAGUAGAGAGAGACAGGGGGAGGCAGGAGGAGAGCCUGGAAAUCCCUGCGAGCCCUAGCGGAGAGGUUCCCUGCCCGGGGCGGGGCGCUGGAGAGCUUCCCAGAAACGGAAGGCGUCGGGGAGAACUUAUCCUGGAACUGCUGGACAGCUCCGGGACCUAGAGCGCCCCCUGCCAAACAGCGCCGAGAACCGGACUCUUGGUUCUCCAGAACCAGCACACAGCAGGAGACAAGGGCAGCAGAGCGAGUGUGCCUGUCCACGCUGAAAAGAAGAAAUGAUAGUUUCCUCCCUCAUACACAGCAAAUUGUAUCACUGUGACUGACAACUAUUUUGCCAACAUUUCAGGUAUGUUUUUCAACUUUUUGCUUUUCUAUUCUCUUUAUCCACACAUCAAAUAAUUUUUUUUUUCCUUUUGGCUUGACUACUGUUGCAUCCUGUUUCAUUCUGAAGAUGAUAUGUUAUUUUAAUUGACAAAACCCAGGUGUUCAAAAUAGUAAUUUUAUUUUCUGUACCUCAUAUUCAAUUUAAGACCUCAUUUUUCCCUGAUGAAAAUAUAACUACUGUUAUUGAGUGCUUCCUACGUGUCAGACAUUGUUGUAAGAGAAUCAUCUCACUAAUUCUCAUAUUAGUCCAAUGAGAUACCCAUAUUACAGAGGAAGAAAGUCAGGUACAGAGAAGUUAAAUAUCUUCACUAGGGUCAUAUAGCUGAUAGUGGGAGACCUGGGAUUCAUAUAUAGGUGGUGUGAUGCCAGAGUUGAUUGUCCCAGCCACUCCACUACAGUGAUCUCUUUUAAAAGU
Molecule: long non-coding RNA, 1049 nt
Filed under: Felis catus (domestic cat)
Lineage: Eukaryota; Metazoa; Chordata; Mammalia; Carnivora; Felidae
Description: lncRNA (ENSFCAG00000048468.1)
Source: RNAcentral